RNAcentral lists this ribosomal RNA (969 nucleotides) under Alteromonas sp. RNAcentral's name for it is "bacterial SSU rRNA". It matches the Rfam family "Bacterial small subunit ribosomal RNA", at positions 56 to 1024 of the family's 1533-position model. Lineage: Bacteria; Pseudomonadati; Pseudomonadota; Gammaproteobacteria; Alteromonadales; Alteromonadaceae. The record is from RNAcentral.
UGCAGUCGAACGGAAACAUGUCUAGCUUGCUAGAUGAUGUCGAGUGGCGGACGGGUGAGUAAUGCUUGGGAACUUGCCUUUGCGAGGGGGAUAACAGUUGGAAACGACUGCUAAUACCGCAUAAUGUCUACGGACCAAACNGGGCUUCGGCUCUGGCGCAAAGAGAGGCCCAAGUGAGAUUAGCUAGUUGGUGAGGUAAAGGCUCACCAAGGCAACGAUCUCUAGCUGUUCUGAGAGGAAGAUCAGCCACACUGGGACUGAGACACGGCCCAGACUCCUACGGGAGGCAGCAGUGGGGAAUAUUGCACAAUGGGGGAAACCCUGAUGCAGCCAUGCCGCGUGUGUGAAGAAGGCCUUCGGGUUGUAAAGCACUUUCAGUUGUGAGGAAAAGUUAGUAGUUAAUACCUGCUAGCCGUGACGUUAACAACAGAAGAAGCACCGGCUAACUCCGUGCCAGCAGCCGCGGUAAUACGGAGGGUGCGAGCGUUAAUCGGAAUUACUGGGCGUAAAGCGCACGCAGGCGGUUUGUUAAGCUAGAUGUGAAAGCCCCGGGCUCAACCUGGGACGGUCAUUUAGAACUGGCAGACUAGAGUCUUGGAGAGGGGAGUGGAAUUCCAGGUGUAGCGGUGAAAUGCGUAGAUAUCUGGAGGAACAUCAGUGGCGAAGGCGACUCCCUGGCCAAAGACUGACGCUCAUGUGCGAAAGUGUGGGUAGCGAACAGGAUUAGAUACCCUGGUAGUCCACACCGUAAACGCUGUCUACUAGCUGUUUGUGACUUUAAGUCGUGAGUAGCGAAGCUAACGCGAUAAGUAGACCGCCUGGGGAGUACGGCCGCAAGGUUAAAACUCAAAUGAAUUGACGGGGGCCCGCACAAGCGGUGGAGCAUGUGGUUUAAUUCGAUGCAACGCGAAGAACCUUACCUACACUUGACAUGUUGAGAAGUACCAGAGAUGGUUUCGUGCCUUCGGA